Molecule: ribosomal RNA, 623 nt
Filed under: uncultured Comamonadaceae bacterium
Lineage: Bacteria; Pseudomonadati; Pseudomonadota; Betaproteobacteria; Burkholderiales; Comamonadaceae
Description: bacterial SSU rRNA
Rfam family: Bacterial small subunit ribosomal RNA
Source: RNAcentral
AGUCGAGCGGCAGCGCGGGGCAACCUGGCGGCGAGCGGCGAACGGGUGAGUAAUACAUCGGAACGUGCCCAAGUGUGGGGGAUAGCCCGGCGAAAGCCGGAUUAAUACCGCAUACGAUCUAAGGAUGAAAGCGGGGGAUCGCAAGACCUCGCGCACUUGGAGCGGCUGAUGGCAGAUUAGGUAGUUGGUGGGGUAAAGGCCUACCAAGCCUACGAUCUGUAGCUGGUCUGAGAGGACGACCAGCCACACUGGGACUGAGACACGGCCCAGACUCCUACGGGAGGCAGCAGUGGGGAAUUUUGGACAAUGGGCGAAAGCCUGAUCCAGCCAUUCCGCGUGCAGGAUGAAGGCCCUCGGGUUGUAAACUGCUUUUGUACAGAACGAAAAGGCUCUGGUUAAUACCUGGGGCUCAUGACGGUACUGUAAGAAUAAGCACCGGCUAACUACGUGCCAGCAGCCGCGGUAAUACGUAGGGUGCAAGCGUUAAUCGGAAUUACUGGGCGUAAAGCGUGCGCAGGCGGUUUUGUAAGACAGAGGUGAAAUCCCCGGGCUCAACCUGGGAACUGCCUUUGUGACUGCAAGGCUGGAGUACGGCAGAGGGGGAUGGAAUUCCGCGUGUAGCA